Molecule: transfer RNA, 57 nt
Filed under: Odocoileus virginianus texanus
Lineage: Eukaryota; Metazoa; Chordata; Mammalia; Artiodactyla; Cervidae
Also listed under: 10 other names
Rfam family: tRNA
About the family: Transfer RNA (tRNA) molecules are approximately 80 nucleotides in length.
Source: Rfam by way of RNAcentral
UGGCUCAGAGGUUAAAGCGUCUGCCUGCAAUGCGGGAGACCCGGGUUCGAUCCCUGG